This 432-nucleotide ribosomal RNA is filed under the name uncultured bacterium. RNAcentral's name for it is "partial 16S ribosomal RNA". It matches the Rfam family "Bacterial small subunit ribosomal RNA", at positions 29 to 507 of the family's 1533-position model. The record is from RNAcentral.
ACGAACGCUGGCGGCAUGCCUAACACAUGCAAGUCGAACGAACCCUUCGGGGUUAGUGGCGCACGGGUGCGUAACGCGUGGGAAUCUGCCCUUUGCUUCGGAAUAACUCAGGGAAACUUGUGCUAAUACCGGAUGAUGUCUUCGGACCAAAGAUUUAUCGGCAAGGGAUGAGCCCGCGUAGGAUUAGGUAGUUGGUGGGGUAAAGGCCUACCAAGCCGACGAUCCUUAGCUGGUCUGAGAGGAUGAUCAGCCACACUGGGACUGAGACACGGCCCAGACUCCUACGGGAGGCAGCAGUGGGGAAUAUUGGACAAUGGGCGCAAGCCUUAUCCAGCAAUGCCGCGUGAGUGAUGAAGGCCCUCGGGUCGUAAAGCUCUUUUACCAGGGAUGAUAAUGACAGUACCUGGAGAAUAAGCUCCGGCUAACUCCGUG